UGAAUUUUUUAUUGUGAUUAAAAAAGUUUUUAGCUAUA
This 38-nucleotide transfer RNA is filed under the name Meloidogyne enterolobii. Its description in RNAcentral is "partial tRNA-His". The record is from RNAcentral. Lineage: Eukaryota; Metazoa; Nematoda; Chromadorea; Rhabditida; Meloidogynidae.